AUUGAACGCUGGCGGCAGGCCUAACACAUGCAAGUCGAGCGGAUGAAGGGAGCUUGCUCCUGGAUUCAGCGGCGGACGGGUGAGUAAUGCCUAGGAAUCUGCCUGGUAGUGGGGGAUAACGUCCGGAAACGGGCGCUAAUACCGCAUACGUCCUGAGGGAGAAAGUGGGGGAUCUUCGGACCUCACGCUAUCAGAUGAGCCUAGGUCGGAUUAGCUAGUUGGUGGGGUAAAGGCCUACCAAGGCGACGAUCCGUAACUGGUCUGAGAGGAUGAUCAGUCACACUGGAACUGAGACACGGUCCAGACUCCUACGAGAGGCAGCAGUGGGGAAUAUUGGACAAUGGGCGAAAGCCUGAUCCAGCCAUGCCGCGUGUGUGAAGAAGGUCUUCGGAUUGUAAAGCACUUUAAGUUGGGAGGAAGGGCAGUAAGUUAAUACCUUGCUGUUGUGACGUUACCAACAGAAUAAGCACCGGCUAACUUCGUG
Molecule: ribosomal RNA, 484 nt
Filed under: uncultured bacterium
Lineage: Bacteria
Description: partial 16S ribosomal RNA
Rfam family: Bacterial small subunit ribosomal RNA
Source: RNAcentral